GACCGCGAGAUCGUGACCUGGCUGAAGUCAGACGCUUAACUGACUGCGCCACCCAGGCGCCCCUAUGCUCUGUCUUUAAGUUGUGUGGGCAUUGGCCAAAACUCCCACACUCUGAAGCGAAGUGGGUGAGGGUGAUGGGUGAGGGCUGCAUUUACCGUACGGUGGGGGUCUGCUCUGGCGGCCGAGGGCACGGAGCGGUCAGGUCCCGGAAUGCAGCGGGCUCGGGUCGACACUACCAAAGCCCCUCGGCCCCGCAAGGACCAGCUUGUUUCAUUAAAACAAAGGGAAGGGUUUCCUUGGAAAUCCUAUUUUUCCCCAGAUUUCCCUCUUGGCUGCUUCUGUGGCCACACAUGUUUCCGAUGAGUCCACAUUCAAAUGAAUUUCAGCCGACAAAUAACUCGAUACAGCUCUUUGGUGGGAGAGAAUUCCUUCGGGAUGAGGUCGUGGUUUGGCUACAGUAAAAUUAAAAAUAACCCAGAACCCCCCGCCGCCCAGGCUGGCAUCAAACCAGGACAGUGCAUUUGGGAACCAUUAUCGGGUUUAUCGGGGUAACAUAUCGCAGAAAACCUGCUUCUGUUUAUAGACCAUUUUAUUAUUCCGUUUUGACAUUUCCCUUUUUUCUUCAACCUUUCUCCCCCUUAAGCAAAUAUCUAUUAGACUGAAUUGAAAUGUGAUCCAACCAAAUAUACUGUUUUUCAACUUCAGGCUAAAGCAGGUCUGACUAGAAGCAGAAACGCUUAAGUGAAAAGUUAUGAUUUACUUUCUUUCUAAAGGGAAACAGUGUCAGAAGGAGAAUUUUAUGUGACAAGGGAGCUUGUGGAGCACGGAGCAGGGGGCUGGCGGCUGACGGGGGGCCUGGGAAAGCCCUGGAGCUUAGAAGGCCAGGAACGACCCUGCCCGAGCACCCCCGGGGGGAACACUGGGAAGAGUGCACAGGCAGAACCUGCUUUUUCCAAAUCGGCAAAAUCCCCAGGUUGGAUUGUACAUAUGUGAAUGGUCAGAUCAGGAAGAAAACCUAGAGGUGGUUGACCUCCCUCCACCCCUGUUAUCUUACUAUCGGGUAAACUGAGGCCCACAAGGCUGCAGUGACUCGCCCAAGAUAACUACGCUGAACUCUGGAGCUCAGCACAUGUGAGUUUGAGGACCAGCUCUACCACAAGACCCUGGGCAAGAGACUCAACUUUCUUGUGUCUCAAGUCCAUUGUCUAUGAAAUGGGGUGAUGACUGUUUGUGCCCUGCCUAUGUCAGACGGUGAUGGAAAGAUCCAAUGGAGAAACAGCCAAUAGAGCAAUUACUUCCUGAGUGCUUUUUCUGUCCUGUGCGCUGUUCCAACCCUUCACACACCCACCGGCUACUCACAGCAAUCCUACCAGGUAGAUUCCAGGAUGGUCCCAAUCCUGAAGAUAAGAGAGCUGCGUGAGGCUCAGAUAAGUUCAGUGACACGACCACAGUCAGGUCGUUGGAGGACGGUAGAUACUUGAUUUGAACCUGGAGCAUCUGAUACGAGAGUCUGUGCUCUUGACCUUGACGUGAGUGGGUCUCUGUGACCACUUAAAUCAGAACCCCGAUUCAAGGGUGAAAUGUGAAGUCCAUGCUCAGCCGGGACAGAAGCCCAGGUCUUCUGAGUCUUGACCCUUUCUCCUGUGUCCUUUGCCAGGGCCCGAACUGUCCAGCUUCCAUCUCCAACUGGGGAGAAGGCCAGGCUGCUUUCCUGCCCCUGUUGUCAGGCCUGGAGCAACAGAUGCAAUGAUGGAAUGGAAAGGUGAUUUGGACUCUCCGCGAACGCAGCAAAGUACAGACCCGGAAGGAAUGUGUGCUGGCGAGUGCUGGGGGCUCCAGAGGUGGGCCUGCCCUGAAGGCUGACACGCGUAACAGCAUUUCCUGGCUCCCCCAGUGGAAGGCCGUGGGUUUGGUAGGAAGAAUUCAUGUGGCAUCUAAAAAUCUCAUUUGAACUCCAACGCUACUGUUUGUUAGCUGUGGGGGCUCCGGAUCGGUCAACAUCUUUGAACCACAAUUUCUUCAUCCUUUGAAUGAAGUUAAUGGGAGGGGUGAAAUAAGGUUAUAAACAUAAAGGUGACUUGACAAAAUGUAAAGACCAUAUAAAAUGUUAACUAUUGUCAUACUAAUUGAUGCUAUUGUGCCAAAUAUCAAUUUAUUGCCUGUUAGCUCCAAAUUCACCUUUUACUGCUUGCUCUGUGAUGAUGAAGGACCCUGGAAAUAUUUUCCCUUUGUCAGCUCAUGCAAUGUUUAGCUUUUCCAGUAGAGGGUGCAGAAGGGACAGGUCAAGAAGAAGGGACUUCACUCUGGUGGGCUGCUUCCUCCUCCUACCAUUCUGCUGCCAGAGUCACAUUUAGGGACAUCUAAUGGGGCUCCCCCUAUCAAGUUGUGGUGGCCACCCUAUGGACAGUUUCCCUCUGACUUUCAGUGCCACCUCUAAGGGAUCACAGGCUCUCCAGCGGCCAGCUCCCAGCUUUGCCUGCAUCACGGUAGGUUUCCAGCUUGUCAGUCAUGCCUGUGGUUUCUUGCCUCCCAUCUUUGGCCCGCAAGCACCAAGGAGGAGACUUUCUUUCUUACCAAUUCCAGCUGUGGGCCCCUGCCCAUCUGUCUCAGCCUCCUUAUGCCUGGGAGGGGUAUUUCAGUUGUAGUUCCCUGUCCACCACCCUCGUCCUGGUGUCUGGGCAUCAGCUUUGACCUGGGACAAGCCACUGAGCUUCUCUGCUGUCCACAGAGUACAACCUACACCUUCUCCAAUGAGGAGAGUCCCAUCCUUGGAGAAAGCCUUCUGCCUUCCCAGUUUAUUUCUCCCACAGAUGCCCUCCAUCAACCUUAGGGAAUUCUUAGGUGACUCAUCAAUCCUUUAUAGAUGAACUGUAGCUAUUGUUCUAGUUAGUCAUUAUUUAUGUUACAUUUUCUCUGUUCAAAUAACUGUAUGCAUUCUGUCUCCUGAUUGUGCCCUGGCUGAUGGAGAACUGUUGUGGCAAGUAGUCUCAGGAGAUAGACCCACAAAGAUGAGAUUUAAGGAUUGGUUUGGUUGUGUCUUUAAACUUGAAUGUAGUGCUGGGUUUUUUGGUUUUGUUUCCUAAUGGGAAAUGAGAAGCUAGUGGUCCAUGGCAUGCAGUGGCCUGCUGGUUAGUCAAGCUGUCACCUGUGGUUGAAUGUGGUGAGGUGCCAACUGAAGACAUGCCUUGGGAGCCCAAGUGGCUCCUGCACAUGACCAUUUGGUAGUAAUGAUGACCACGGGAGCUGUGGUGUGGGAGGACUCUUCUGAGUACAAGCGAGCAAUUUCAGAACAAAAAAUGACAAACUCUAGUCCUUUAACUAUCAACUCAAGUCAUAUGUUAAGGAUCAGAAAGACCCUAAAAUAUGCUGUUUUUUCUUAUAACUACAGGGCUACUAUUAGGAAAAUCAACAAAAAAAUGUAUUGGGCAGGUUGCUGAAUUAAAAUGGCAGUUGUAUUCAAA
Molecule: long non-coding RNA, 3461 nt
Organism: Felis catus (domestic cat)
Lineage: Eukaryota; Metazoa; Chordata; Mammalia; Carnivora; Felidae
Exons: 2
Source: RefSeq, a predicted model, not a curated record